RNAcentral lists this long non-coding RNA (414 nucleotides) under Brassica napus (rape). RNAcentral's name for it is "long non-coding RNA (BNAP_LNC012892)". Lineage: Eukaryota; Viridiplantae; Streptophyta; Magnoliopsida; Brassicales; Brassicaceae. The record is from RNAcentral.
CUUUAUAUAAUGAAAACGAACACCGACUCUUCUUGGACUUAUCCUAAUCCUAUGAAUAUUAACUAACUUGUAAAAGAUCUCCUAAGAUAAAGACAAAUCCUAAUGACUCGACAGAAAGAGUGACUAUCGGUUUAACACAUAACCGAACGUAAACCAAGGGAUGCGCUGCAUCACAUUGUCUCAGCCUUUGUUACCUCUUCCGCAUUGACCAGGUUAGCAAUAUAUGGGUUACAACCUAACCUGAGACAAUAUUCAAACAAAAAGAUUUGCAGGGUCUCUGAAAAUGUAUUUAUGCUCCUAACUAAUACAAACGAAUAGGAGACGCUGAAUAUAAAAAAUCAUACGAAUUAUGUAGAAUAAAAGUGUUGCCACUACAAAGACUCACCAGUUUAAAUAAUCUUGGGUGGGUUGGAC